This is a non-coding RNA of Parasteatoda tepidariorum (common house spider), 169 nucleotides long. The record is from RefSeq and is a predicted model, not a curated record. Lineage: Eukaryota; Metazoa; Arthropoda; Arachnida; Araneae; Theridiidae.
GUUGGACCAGGUAUUAUAUUACAGGGUAAUAGUGUACCCUACCACAGGAAAUAAUUAUAGGUCAAUUAGGGGGCACACAGCGUGACCCUAAAGUUUACUAUGUAUGCCUAUGUGAAAUAAAGUGUUCUGAGAAGCUUAAAAUGAAGAAAUAAGACUUCUAAAAUGCUUU